UAAUACCGGAUAAGAAAGACGGAUCGCAUGAUCAGCUUUUAAAAGGACGGCGUAAGCUGUCGCUAUGGGAUGGCCCCGCGGUGCAUUAGCUAGUUGGUAAGGUAAAGGCUUACCAAGGCGAUGAUGCAUAGCCGAGUUGAGAGACUGAUCGGCCACAUUGGGACUGAGACACGGCCCAAACUCCUACGGGAGGCAGCAGC
RNAcentral lists this ribosomal RNA (200 nucleotides) under uncultured Lactobacillus sp. Its description in RNAcentral is "partial 16S ribosomal RNA". It matches the Rfam family "Bacterial small subunit ribosomal RNA", at positions 164 to 355 of the family's 1533-position model. The record is from RNAcentral. Lineage: Bacteria; Bacillati; Bacillota; Bacilli; Lactobacillales; Lactobacillaceae.